This 500-nucleotide long non-coding RNA is filed under the name Homo sapiens (human). RNAcentral describes it as "non-protein coding lnc-RBMY1D-3:1". Lineage: Eukaryota; Metazoa; Chordata; Mammalia; Primates; Hominidae. The record is from RNAcentral.
GAUAGUGUUAAAAACACAGGUUAAAUGGAUGUUGAAGAGCUGCUAUAAGAGGCCUCAUUUGGGUAAGAAAAGAGUUAUUGGUCUUUAAAUUAAUUGAUUGUUUCAUCUUCCCUGCAUAAAAAGCUCACCUGCAAUAUUUAAGAAGUAAACAACUGCCAGCCGAGCUGGCUGUUCCAGUCUGUCGCUCACCAAACACCAUCAAUUCUGCUUUUGAGCUACUUGUAGCACCAGCUAUUGGCUGUGUAAAAAAAUCUUAAAAAGAUAGUAGACUGUUUGGCUGAAAUAUAUUACACAGACAAAACAAUAGCUACUUGUAAAGCACUUCCUGAGUGGGAAUAUCAGCUCCUGCUGGACCACGCCCACCAAAAAGAUUUGUGGAACUCAAAGAGGGUGGUGCUACCUAUCACAUAAAUUCUGUGACCCAGCAGCUAUACCUGAUCCCCGUCAUCAGCAGCAGUAUUUUAACCAUUGAAAAGACAGGUAGCAACACAGGCGAUGAU